Molecule: unclassified non-coding RNA, 659 nt
Filed under: Hevea brasiliensis (rubber tree)
Lineage: Eukaryota; Viridiplantae; Streptophyta; Magnoliopsida; Malpighiales; Euphorbiaceae
Source: RNAcentral
GCACAACCCUCAGCUCAUAACACAAACAUACAAUUUUCUUCUUCUUCUUCUUUGGGGACACUAUCAAACACCUUUCUCUGAUCUCUCCACCUGCAACUCGCACCCAGUAGUGGUCUCUUAGCAGGCCUCUGUUGGAUGCUGUGUUGCUAAUUUCCUUGAUUUUCUUUGAGGUCAAGAAGAUUUCUUGCUAGAUCUUUCAUCGAUCAGCUCUUGGGAUGUCAUCUCUUGGCAAGAGCUUUCGCUUAUCUUCAUCUCUCAAUGAAGAGUUCAUGGUUACCAAGAAACAGGGCAUAGUGUCCAUUCUUGGUUCUGACUGCGAAAGAAGCAAAUCUGCAGCUUCUUUAAGGAGAACUCUUUCAGCUGAUAUGUCCUCCAAGAAAUGGCUAUCUCAACAUGGGUUCUCUCCACUCAAGAAAAUUGCCUCUUCUGAAGAAUUCCUAGUUUCCAUUGCAGACUCUUCAUCUUCAUCAUCGGAAGCGGAAGAAGAGUAUGACAAUGGAAGGCAGAAAGUGACCGAGCCUCGAGGACAAUUCGAGAUUUGGAGUUCAAUUCAACAAGACAAGAAGAACAAGGAAGAGCUCGAAAAGCCUGGUCAGUUUGACAUAUGGAGCUCAAUCUUAUCGCAGAAAGCACAUGAGGACAACAAAAAUCUUCCACCU